GGAAGAGGCUGAAUGUGGAGGUCUGGUCACUGGAAGAGGCUGAAUGUGGAGGUCUGGUCACUGGAAGAGGCUGAAUGUGGAGGUCUGGUCACUGGAAGAGGCUGAAUGUGGAGGUCUGUUCACUGGAAGAGGCUGAAUGUGGAGGUCUGUUCACUGGAAGAGGCUGAAUGUGGUCUGGUCACUGGAAGAGGCUGAAUGUGGAGGUCUGGUCACUGGAAGAGGCUGAAUGUGGUCUGGUCACUGGAAGAGGCUGAAUGUGGUCUGGUCACUGGAAGAGGCUGAAUGUGGAGGUCUGGUCACUGGAAGAGGCUGAAUGUGGAGGUCUGGUCACUGGAAGAGGCUGAAUGUGGAGGUCUGGUCACUGGAAGAGGCUGAAUGUGGUCUGUUCACUGGAAGAGGCUGAAUGUGGAGGUCUGGUCACUGGAAGAGGCUGAAUGUGGAGGUCUGGUCACUGGAAGAGGCUGAAUGUGGAGGUCUGGUCACUGGAAGAGGCUGAAUGUGGAGGUCUGUUCACUGGAAGAGGCUGAAUGUGGAG
RNAcentral lists this long non-coding RNA (535 nucleotides) under Salmo salar (Atlantic salmon). RNAcentral describes it as "lncRNA (ENSSSAG00000118255.1)". Lineage: Eukaryota; Metazoa; Chordata; Actinopteri; Salmoniformes; Salmonidae. The record is from RNAcentral.